Non-coding RNA from Paramuricea clavata, 461 nucleotides. Lineage: Eukaryota; Metazoa; Cnidaria; Anthozoa; Malacalcyonacea; Plexauridae. The record is from the annotation of a GenBank genome assembly.
GCCAUUUCAUCUGGCGAUAGUGAGGUGAAAGAAGCAGCAAGUCGGUAUUUUUGUUCAGGAGAAUAUAUGGACAGCAGCAAGUCGGUAUUAAGAAGCAGCAAGUCAGUAUUUUUGUUCAUGAGAAUAUAUUUUUAUUCAGGAGAAUAUUUGUUCAGGAGUAUAUCAGACAUCUUGAGGAACUGCAAUUUGUAUCUGCGAUGAGAGAGAAUUCCAGAUUGUACUCCUUCGAUUCCGGACUCUAGACUGGGGGGGGGGCAUUGAAAAUUGUAAAAACUUGGAGGGGAGGGGCAUCGAAAAUUCACCAAUAUCCUCAACAGGGUCUCUGUAAAAAUAUGAGGUUUUUUCAAGACAUCUUCACACCCCCCCCUAGGCAUAAUAGAUGUACUUUCCCUUAAGUCGAGAAAAUCAAAGCUGAUGUUUAUGUAAUUCAACGCAAAUCUUUUUUUUUUUUUUUUUUUUUU